Molecule: non-coding RNA, 546 nt
Organism: Arachis ipaensis
Lineage: Eukaryota; Viridiplantae; Streptophyta; Magnoliopsida; Fabales; Fabaceae
Source: RefSeq, a predicted model, not a curated record
AUAUUUUAAAAAUUCCAAAAAAACUCGUAAUUUUGUCCCACACUUACACAAUCCUAACCCUAAGUUUUUCGUUAAGCUCUCGCCGAUCCACCGCACGGUCCCAUCUCACUGUGUCUCCUCCGUUCGGCAUCCCUCGUGUGCUCGUCUUCCCUCUUGCAAAUUUUUGUUUCUUUAUAAAAGGAAAAGGGACUUUAUGUAUUUAAAGGAUUCUCGCCCCUAUGCAGUGACCUGAUGGAACCCUCGGAAAAUCCAGUCGCAUCAGAGUUGGCUAUACUCCUCAAGAAGAAGUCAUUAUUUAUCAACCCAAAGCUGCUCUGUUGAAGAAAGAGAUGGCAUCACACAGUGGACCUCCAGUUUAUGAUCCUACAUUAGAUGAUUCAAAAUCAAAGACGAAAUCGAUAAAGAGGAACGAAAGGAAAAAGGAAAAGUGACUUCAGGCUACCCGUGAAAAAGAAAAGAAAAGCUAAAUUAUUUUUUAUUUUAAUCUUGAUACAUAUACUCUAUUACUUUAUCAUUGAUAGAAAGGAAUAGUUUGGUUUUUUAUCA